This 811-nucleotide long non-coding RNA is filed under the name Medicago truncatula (barrel medic). RNAcentral's name for it is "long non-coding RNA (MTRU_LNC006548)". Lineage: Eukaryota; Viridiplantae; Streptophyta; Magnoliopsida; Fabales; Fabaceae. The record is from RNAcentral.
GAGGGUAGACUAUCAGUCAGUAUUUGAAUAAGCAGUUUACAUCUAAUGGAUAAAAGGUUCUCAAUCCAGCCAAGUCAUAGCAGAUUUUGGUGACUUCAGAAAAACAAUAAAAGCAAAAGGUGAGACUCAAAGUUGAGAAGAAGACUAUAAAAAGAUCCAAGGCUUGUGGUAAGAUUUUAAAUUAACCACUAUAAAAAGUUUAACGCAUGAAUCUGUAAAAAGAAACAAAAAAGAGUUCAACUUCAAACCUAUCAUACUCGUUAUGUCAAAGCAAAUUCAAAAUUCUCAAUUCUUCCAUUGACUAGAUAAUAUUUCUAGAAAUAAAUAGCAAUUAGCCAUGCUUAACUCAAUCAUGAAUUUUUUUUUUUACAGCAAUGAAAGGUGAUCAUCUCACAGUUGUUAGGCCUUCUAAAGGCAAUCCAAGUUUAGACCUUCUAUUUAACUAUAAAGACAUAAAACAAAAAUGGAGCUGCUGAAACAUUCAUGAGUGGGAAAGUGCAAAAGGUGACGAGGGGAAAGGUUUAAUUUGGAACAAAUAUAAAAUCUCCACUUUGAGGACUUUUAUUUUCACGUUCAGCCCUAGAUCCUCAUGCAAAUGGACUACCCAUUGAUGUGUUACUGUUUAUAAUGAAUAAACAAAAAUCCCCAUUCUUCUAACUUUUGAGACUCAACUUAGCUGAACAAAAGUUUAAAAAAUGAAUUUUCCUGCUGAAAGGAAUUUGGAAAAUGAUACACGGACAACAAAUGAAGCUCGUUUAAAAGAAAUUAGUAUGCUGAUUAAUAUCGACAAAACAAGUAAUGCCAAUACUAC